CCUCUUGCUGCUUCCUCUCUCUCCUCUUCUCAUCGCUCUCUUUCUCCUUGUGCGUGUUGGGAGGAAACCUCAAAGCCCUUACCGCCUCGUUAUGCAUGGUUUGAUCUUAGCUUCUCUGCCUGAUCAUACAGAUUGUAGUGCAGGUAGUUACGAAGCAAAAGGUUAAGAAGUGUUUCCUGCAUCCAAUACAAAUAUAUUAUUCAUUAAGUAGCAAACAAAACGUUUCAUAGCAAUGAGUGUAGGCUGCACAUACCUGACCCAACUCAUCAUGGCGAAGGGUUGCAGAAU
Molecule: long non-coding RNA, 288 nt
Filed under: Brassica napus (rape)
Lineage: Eukaryota; Viridiplantae; Streptophyta; Magnoliopsida; Brassicales; Brassicaceae
Description: long non-coding RNA (BNAP_LNC002990)
Source: RNAcentral